RNAcentral lists this ribosomal RNA (465 nucleotides) under Vreelandella stevensii. RNAcentral's name for it is "partial 16S ribosomal RNA". It matches the Rfam family "Bacterial small subunit ribosomal RNA", at positions 338 to 795 of the family's 1533-position model. The record is from RNAcentral. Lineage: Bacteria; Pseudomonadati; Pseudomonadota; Gammaproteobacteria; Oceanospirillales; Halomonadaceae.
CCUACGGGUGGCAGCAGUGGGGAAUAUUGGACAAUGGGCGAAAGCCUGAUCCAGCCAUGCCGCGUGUGUGAAGAAGGCCUUCGGGUUGUAAAGCACUUUCAGUGGGGAAGAAAGCCUUGGGGCUAAUACCCUCGAGGAAGGACAUCACCCACAGAAGAAGCACCGGCUAACUCCGUGCCAGCAGCCGCGGUAAUACGGAGGGUGCGAGCGUUAAUCGGAAUUACUGGGCGUAAAGCGCGCGUAGGCGGUCUGAUAAGCCGGUUGUGAAAGCCCCGGGCUCAACCUGGGAACGGCAUCCGGAACUGUCAGGCUAGAGUACAGGAGAGGAAGGUAGAAUUCCCGGUGUAGCGGUGAAAUGCGUAGAGAUCGGGAGGAAUACCAGUGGCGAAGGCGGUCUUCUGGACUUACACUGACGCUGAGGUGCGAAAGCGUGGGUAGCAAACAGGAUUAGAUACCCGAGUAGUC